RNAcentral lists this ribosomal RNA (465 nucleotides) under uncultured Kingella sp. Its description in RNAcentral is "bacterial SSU rRNA". It matches the Rfam family "Bacterial small subunit ribosomal RNA", at positions 338 to 795 of the family's 1533-position model. Lineage: Bacteria; Pseudomonadati; Pseudomonadota; Betaproteobacteria; Neisseriales; Neisseriaceae. The record is from RNAcentral.
CCUACGGGUGGCUGCAGUGGGGAAUUUUGGACAAUGGGCGCAAGCCUGAUCCAGCCAUGCCGCGUGUCUGAAGAAGGCCUUCGGGUUGUAAAGGACUUUUGUUAGGGAAGAAAAGGCAUUUGCUAAUAACAGAUGCUGAUGAGGGUACCUAAAGAAUAAGCACCGGCUAACUACGUGCCAGCAGCCGCGGUAAUACGUAGGGUGCGAGCGUUAAUCGGAAUUACUGGGCGGAAAGCGAGCGCAGACGGUUAAUUAAGCCAGAUGUGAAAUCCCCGAGCUUAACUUGGGACGUGCAUUUGGAACUGGUUAGCUAGAGUAUGUCAGAGGGGGGUAGAAUUCCACGUGUAGCAGUGAAAUGCGUAGAGAUGUGGAGGAAUACCGAUGGCGAAGGCAGCCCCCUGGGAUAAUACUGACGUUCAUGCUCGAAAGCGUGGGUAGCAAACAGGAUUAGAUACCCCAGUAGUC